CUCUCUCUCUCUCUCUAAACUGUUUAUACUUCUCAACAAUAGCAUAUAAACCCUCACUUUCCCCCCUCUCUCUCUAGAAAUUUCGCUCUCUCUCUCUCUCUUAGGGUUUGGGUACUCUUUCAUUGCUAGGGUUUAUUGGUGCUGGAGUCUGUGUCUUUUCGAUUCAAUGGCGUCUUUGGCUAUGGCCGCCGAGAAGCUUAGAGAUUUAAGCCAGCCGAUUGAUGUUUCUUUACUCGAUGCUACUGUUGCUGCGUUCUAUGGCACCGGAUCUAAGGAAGAAAGGGCUACUGCAGACCGGAUAUUGCAGGAGUUGCAAAGCAAUGUGGAUAUGUGGCUACAGGUUGUGCACAUUUUACAAAAUACAAAGAACCUAAACACCAAGUUCUUUGCCUUGCAGGUCCUUGAAGGUGUUAUUAAGUAUAGAUGGAAUGCAUUGCCUGUUGAGCAACGGGAUGGAAUGAAAAAUUACAUUUCUGAAGUCAUUGUACAGCUUUCCAGUAAUGAGGCUUCUUUCCGAUUGGAAAGGCUAUAUGUCAACAAGCUCAACGUAAUUUUGGUUCAGAUAUUGAAACAUGAGUGGCCAGCUAGAUGGAGAAGCUUUAUUCCCGAUCUUGUUGCAGCAGCAAAAACUAGUGAAACAAUUUGUGAGAAUUGCAUGGUUAUAUUGAAACUUCUAAGUGAAGAAGUUUUUGAUUUCUCUCGUGGGGAAAUGACUCAACAGAAGAUCAAAGAGCUGAAACAAUCACUAAACAGUGAAUUUCAACUCAUCCAUGAGUUAUGCUUGUAUGUACUAUCAGCAUCUCAAAGAACUGAGCUUAUUCGGGCAACAUUGUCCACCUUGCAUGCAUUUCUUUCCUGGAUUCCCUUGGGCUAUAUUUUUGAAUCCCCCCUGCUGGAAACACUCCUUAAGUUCUUUCCUGUGCCCUCAUAUCGAAAUCUUACCCUCCAGUGUUUGACAGAGGUUGCAGCUCUAAAUUUUGGAGACUUCUAUAAUGUGCAGUAUGUUAAGAUGUAUAAUUUCUUCAUGGUCCAACUACAGGCCAUUCUUCCUCCAGCAACAAACAUUCCAGAGGCUUAUGCACAUGGUACUAAUGAGGAACAGGCAUUUAUUCAGAAUUUGGCAUUGUUUUUCACUUCAUUUUAUAAGUCCCAUAUUCGAGUGCUCGAGACUUCGCCAGAGAACAUAUCUGCAUUGAUGAUGGGUCUUGAAUAUCUAAUUAGUAUCUCAUAUGUUGAUGACACUGAGGUUUUUAAGGUUUGCUUGGAUUAUUGGAACUCCUUGGUUUUGGAGCUCUUUGAGGCACAUCAUAAUUUGGAUAAUCCUGCUGUAACUGCAAACAUGAUGGGAUUGCAGAUGCCUUUGCUUCAUGGUAUGGUUGAUGGCAUAGGUUCACAAAUAUUGCAACGGAGGCAGCUUUACGCUAAUCCAAUGUCAAAGUUGAGAAUGCUUAUGAUUUGUCGUAUGGCUAAACCUGAAGAAGUUCUCAUAGUUGAAGAUGAGAAUGGCAACAUUGUUCGAGAAACUAUGAAGGACAAUGAUGUUCUCGUUCAAUAUAAGAUUAUGAGAGAAACCUUGAUAUACUUGUCUCACCUUGAUCAUGAGGACACUGAAAAGCAGAUGCUCAAGAAAUUAAGUAAACAAUUGAGUGGUGAGGAUUGGAGCUGGAACAAUCUAAACACUCUAUGUUGGGCAAUAGGCUCCAUUUCUGGUUCCAUGAUGGAAGAACAGGAAAACAGAUUUCUGGUGAUGGUCAUUCGUGAUUUACUGAAUUUGUGUGAAAUCACCAAGGGAAAAGAUAACAAAGCUGUUAUUGCUAGUAACAUUAUGUAUGUGGUUGGGCAGUAUCCACGAUUUCUUAGAGCCCAUUGGAAAUUCUUGAAAACUGUUGUCAAUAAGUUGUUUGAGUUCAUGCAUGAAACACAUCCUGGAGUUCAGGUUAUUUUUGCUUUUGUGAUCCUUGACAUUGCUGUAUUUACAUCUUCCAUGCUGGAGGGUUUUUGUUUCCCUUAAAGAUUUAUAGGGUUGUAAUUUCGCCAAGUGGAGCUGGUUGGUGGCGAACCUGUUCUCAGCUUGAAUAUUUGUUUCUGAAGAUAAUCAGCUGGACACUUGUGAUGCUCACAGAGUUUCGGGCUGAAUUUUGCAAGCUUGGGACUAUCCUUAGUUGCCCCCAUACCUCUCCCUUCCUUUCUUAAUCUUGUUGUUCAUAGUCUUUCUUUGUUUGUUCAACCUAAUUUUUAAACCGAAUCUAUAACACUGUAAAAUGAAUUAAUUUGACACUAUAAAAUUAUUUUCUUGGUAAUAGAAAUAUAAUUAUGACCGAAAAACAAGCAUAACAAAUUACUAUUACUAUAACAUGCUAAAACAAAUCUACUCGCUGAUACAAACAUAAUAAUGGGAAUUGGGAAAAUCGAGUAUAACAAAUUACUAUUAAUCUAACAAAAUUAAGAGGAAAAAUACAUAUCAAUUCGGAGGUUCAAGCAUAUUUGGUAACACCUUAUCAGAAAAAUGUAGUAAAUAAAUAUAUUUAGAUAAAGCUGGGAUUUUACCUCACACAAAGAUUUGCUUGAAAAUUUUGGCCGAAUAAUUAAGUUUUUGGUCUACUGCAACCUAAUUAGCAGUCUUUAUGUUGUUGCAGUGUUGCUUGUUAGUGAUGGGUCACUUGUAGUAUUUUGCUGGAUAAAUUGGGUCUCUUUUUCUUGAAUAACCUGCUAUGGUAAUUUAUGACUUACACAUCAUUGUCUUCCAGGAUAUGGCUUGUGACACGUUCUUAAAAAUUGUUCAGAAAUGCAAACGGAAAUUCGUUAUUGUACAGGUGGGGGAAAGUGAACCAUUUGUGUCUGAACUUCUGUCAGGCCUUCCAACAACCGUUGCUGAUCUUGAGCCUCAUCAGAUCCAUACAUUUUAUGAAUCUGUAUAUUUCAUGCCUUGAUAAAAAAGCUUAGGCACUCACAUCUUUGUGUUGUGACCAUGUGACAUUUGCCUUUCCCUUUCUUAUUCAGGUAGGGCAUAUGAUUCAAGCCGAACCUGAUCCGCAGAAGAGAGAUGAAUACCUGCAGAGAUUGAUGGAUCUUCCAAACCAUAAAUGGGCUGAAAUCAUUGGGCAGGCACGCCAGAGUGUUGAUUUUCUGAAAGAUCAAGAAGUGAUCAGGACAGUUCUGAACAUAUUGCAGGUAUGGCCCUCCAUUCAAAAUUUGACUUUCUAUUAUUUAUUGAGGCAUUUUGCUGAAAAGAAAAAAAAAUUCAAUUGGUUGCUCUUCUGACCAACGGAUUAAAUGAUACAUAUGCAGUUGUCAUGAAAUUGCAUGGUGUUAUAUCAGUUUUUCACUGUAGCAUAAUAUAAUUGGUUACUUAGCUCACUUGCUGUUGGUUUUUUCCUGUACAAUUCUUAUUUCUAUAAUGUCAUUCAACUGAAGGAUUGAAUAUAAUUCUCGUAAGUUUGAAUGUUUUGUGAUGAUCUUAUUUUUUAUUCAAGCCAUUGUUGCUUUGCAGACAAAUACAAGUGUUGCUAGUUCU
RNAcentral lists this unclassified non-coding RNA (3514 nucleotides) under Hevea brasiliensis (rubber tree). Lineage: Eukaryota; Viridiplantae; Streptophyta; Magnoliopsida; Malpighiales; Euphorbiaceae. The record is from RNAcentral.